Molecule: long non-coding RNA, 1563 nt
Filed under: Harpegnathos saltator (Jerdon's jumping ant)
Lineage: Eukaryota; Metazoa; Arthropoda; Insecta; Hymenoptera; Formicidae
Description: uncharacterized LOC112589165, transcript variant X2
Source: RNAcentral
GGCGCCAUUUGUAAACAAAACGCUAUCGCUUUUAUGUCUCCCUUUAAGCCAUAUAAUUUCUGUUAGAAAUUUUUUCAUAUUUGAAGCCGUUUCCGAAAUCCAGGGGUGAAGUCAGACUUUAGAGAUACUCUACUAUAGGAAUUUAGGAUGAAACAACCUCAACAUAUACGCCUAUUAGCGUUCCGCAAUUAUUUGGAUAUUUCCUCGCGAACACCGCUAAUAUUUGCUGCCGAUAUUUUGAUUGCGUCUGUUGCUUCUUGUUGACGUGCGACCUAUUUUUAUACGAAAAAUGAAUACUUUUUUGUCCAAAGCGUAAUCAGAUCUCUCGAAUCUGAUGCCGGUUCGCGCGUUCAAUUUCUCGACGUCUCACAGCCAGCGGUGGGCAAGAAUUCAAAUCCACCAUGUAUUUUGCCGAUAUUUUGAUUACGUCUGUUGCCUCUUGUUGACGUAUGACCUAUUUUUAUACGAAAAACGAAUACUUUUUUGUCCAAAGUGUAAUCAGAUCUCUCAAUUCUGAUGCCGGUGCGCGCGUUCAAUUUCUCGACGUCUCACAGCCGACGAUGGGCAAGAAUUCAGGUCCACCAUGUAUAUCUGUAUUCUGUAGUGUUGAAUAUAGGAAGAUGACCUUCGCCAUCGGAAUUAGAAAUAAAGGCGUUACCUAAGUAAACUCUCUGUACAAGGUUCAGGAGAGGAAUAUAAUCAGUGGAUUUCUCAGGGUUAGAAAUAAUGACGUGGAAAGGAGUGACGGUACGUGGUUGUAUCACGAUGGAUCCUUCUUCUAUAAAAGUAACAUAUAGACAGGCACAUGCGUUAAUUAAUUAUUAAGACUGGCGACGGAAGUCUCCGAGAUAAGCGGGGUGAGAAAAACAGGCCACCGUGAGCGCUCUGGAAUCCUCGAGUAACCCGAUCCCAUAUCAGGUAACAUAGAGCAUCCUGUUGACCAAGCUCCUUAUCACAUCCGGCGGCGCGCCGAGAUGUCUCGACACCUCGUCGGCAUCAAGCCACUCACAAUUAAAUACGCUUUUUAGGGGUAGAAAGCACCCCUCAACUCCUGGAGGUGGAAACAGUUAUGGCUAAUUAUUUCUGAAACGAUACAUUUUCUGAAAUAAGUGCUUAGGACCAAAGUUGUAGAGUUCAAAAUGAUGCACUUGAUGGCGACUUUGAAGUCGACCUUGAAGUCGUUUUUCAAGGUCAUUUGAAAAUCAUUUCAUGUUUUUCAAAGGGAGAAGUUUACUUUCCAUCCCGAGAAUCGAUAGAGCGUAAAAUUUUACAUUCAGAACGUUGGCGGUUUGUAAAUAAAGCAAGCCUCUGCAAGUAAAACUCUAACUAGUGCAGCCAGUGAGCCAGUUCAGCUAAAACGAACAGACCAAGGACUGCGUUCUGAUAUAAAGCCAGCAGCACACGAUGCUUCUUUUCAUACUGAAUUACUUGAUGGAUUUGCGUGCUUGCUACUGUAUGGACAGCUGUGCUGGCAAUGCUACUGGCCGAGUUACCGGUUAGGCUUCACACGGUGCAAGUUUUCGUGCUGGCUGAGCAGCUGAUCUCAACUCUAUUACAAAGGAA